CCUACGGGUGGCAGCAGUAGGGAAUAUUGCUCAAUGGGGGAAACCCUGAAGCAGCAACGCCGCGUGGAGGAUGAAGGUUUUCGGAUUGUAAACUCCUUUUGUUAGAGAAGAUAAUGACGGUAUCUAACGAAUAAGCACCGGCUAACUCGGUUCCAGCAGCCGCGGUCAUACGGAGGGUGCAAGCGUUACUCGGAAUCACUGGGCGUAAAGAGCGCGUAGGCGGGAUAGCAAGUCAGGUGUGAAAUCCUAUGGCUUAACCAUAGAACGGCAUUUGAAACUGUUAGUCUAUAGUAUGGGAGGGGUAGGUGGAAUUCUUGGUGUAGGAGUAAAAUCCGUAGAGAUCAAGAGGAAUACUCAUGGCGAAGGCGAGCUGCUAGAACAUAACUGACGCUGAUGCACGAAAGCGUGGGGAGCAAACGGGAUUAGAUACCCUGGUAGUC
This 440-nucleotide ribosomal RNA is filed under the name uncultured bacterium. RNAcentral's name for it is "partial 16S ribosomal RNA". It matches the Rfam family "Bacterial small subunit ribosomal RNA", at positions 338 to 795 of the family's 1533-position model. The record is from RNAcentral.